Alexandromys fortis (reed vole) is the source of this 452-nucleotide long non-coding RNA. RefSeq lists it as uncharacterized. NCBI's taxonomy places the organism in Eukaryota, Metazoa, Chordata, Mammalia, Rodentia, Cricetidae. The record is from RefSeq and is a predicted model, not a curated record. The transcript is spliced from 3 exons.
CGCCUGUUCCUCCAGCCGCAGGAGGGAAAGUGAUUUCUGAAUCCAUCGGAUAUGUCGGAUUUCUUUGUGGCAUCCUCUCCAUCGCUCAGCAGCCAGCCAUGAUGUCAUAAGCCCAUCAGAUUUCCGUAGAGAUUUGGCUUAUUCCAUCACCCCACUUCUGCUGAAUGGUGACGACCAACAUUAACCCCAUCGUCUAUAUGGGGAGUCAUCCCAGAUUACAGGAGUCUCUCAGCAUGAACUGUCAAGUCAGAGAAGCCUUCCUGGAGGUGGUGACAAUGGUCCUGGGGCCUAGGAUAGAUGAGGAGCAUGACACCUCUUACUGGACAAUACUCGGCCCCAAAGACCGCUGGCCGGGAACUCCAAGCAGACGCAGCUGGCCGCGGGGGGCGUGGCCCUAGGCGGAGAGAAGGCGUGGCCUGGGCGGGCGAGGCGGACUCUCCAGCCCAGACCUC